Xenia sp. Carnegie-2017 is the source of this 417-nucleotide long non-coding RNA. RefSeq lists it as uncharacterized. Lineage: Eukaryota; Metazoa; Cnidaria; Anthozoa; Malacalcyonacea; Xeniidae. The transcript has 2 exons. The record is from RefSeq and is a predicted model, not a curated record.
AAGCUGUACAAGUGAGACUUAUCACAAGAUGGCGAACUUUACUUAUGCGAUGAUUGUAAUAGCUUGUCUUUUUGCUAUUUUUCAUGGAGCGAUGUUGACUAAUGCAAAAGAAGAUCGUACAAAAGAUGACUUCUCAACAAUCAGCCUCGACAUGAAACGCACCUUAAAACCUGAUCCAAGAAAUGUAACUUUGAAGACACAAAUUGCAUCCAUAAAAGCACAAAUAAUUACACUUCAAACAUAUCACAAAAAACUUGGCGCACAAAACAAACACCUUCAAACAUUUAAGUUAAAACUCCAAUCCAAAGUCAACAAGACAAAAGGACAAAUAUCAAACUUAUAACCUUGCGAAAACAAAUAAAGAAGCUCGAAGUUCAAAUGAUUAAGCUUUCCAUACAAAUGAAAACACUCGAAGCA